GACGGGUGAGUAAUGUCUGGGAAACUGCCUGAUGGAGGGGGAUAACUACUGGAAACGGUGGCUAAUACCGCAUAACGUCGCAAGACCAAAGAGGGGGACCUUCGGGCCUCUUGCCAUCAGAUGUGCCCAGAUGGGAUUAGCUUGUUGGUGAGGUAACGGCUCACCAAGGCGACGAUCCCUAGCUGGUCUGAGAGGAUGACCAGCCACACUGGAACUGAGACACGGUCCAGACUCCUACGGGAGGCAGCAGUGGGGAAUAUUGCACAAUGGGCGCAAGCCUGAUGCAGCCAUGCCGCGUGUAUGAAGAAGGCCUUCGGGUUGUAAAGUACUUUCAGCGGGGAGGAAGGUGUUGUGGUUAAUAACCGCAGCAAUUGACGUUACCCGCAGAAGAAGCACCGGCUAACUCCGUGCCAGCAGCCGCGGUAAUACGGAGGGUGCAAGCGUUAAUCGGAAUUACUGGGCGUAAAGCGCACGCAGGCGGUCUGUCAAGUCGGAUGUGAAAUCCCCGGGCUCAACCUGGGAACUGCAUUCGAAACUGGCAGGCUUGAGUCUUGUAGAGGGGGGUAGAAUUCCAGGUGUAGCGGUGAAAUGCGUAGAGAUCUGGAGGAAUACCGGUGGCGAAGGCGGCCCCCUGGACAAAGACUGACGCUCAGGUGCGAAAGCGUGGGGAGCAAACAGGAUUAGAUACCCUGGUAGUCCACGCCGUAAACGAUGUCUACUUGGAGGUUGUGCCCUUGAGGCGUGGCUUCCGGAGCUAACGCGUUAAGUAGACCGCCUGGGGAGUACGGCCGCAAGGUUAAAACUCAAAUGAAUUGACGGGGGCCCGCACAAGCGGUGGAGCAUGUGGUUUAAUUCGAUGCAACGCGAAGAACCUUACCUGGUCUUGACAUCCACAGAAGAAUCCAGAGAUGGAUUUGUGCCUUCGGGAACUGUGAGACAGGUGCUGCAUGGCUGUCGUCAGCUCGUGUUGUGAAAUGUUGGGUUAAGUCCCGCAACGAGCGCAACCCUUAUCCUUUGUUGCCAGCGAUUAGG
RNAcentral lists this ribosomal RNA (1032 nucleotides) under Salmonella enterica subsp. enterica serovar Typhimurium. Its description in RNAcentral is "bacterial SSU rRNA". It matches the Rfam family "Bacterial small subunit ribosomal RNA", at positions 100 to 1129 of the family's 1533-position model. Lineage: Bacteria; Pseudomonadati; Pseudomonadota; Gammaproteobacteria; Enterobacterales; Enterobacteriaceae. The record is from RNAcentral.